Molecule: non-coding RNA, 345 nt
Organism: Nitrospirae bacterium 13_2_20CM_2_63_8
Lineage: Bacteria; Pseudomonadati; Nitrospirota
Source: Rfam
GGGGGCGACAGGCUUCGACGGGGAUCAUGAGGCCAGGGUGGCAUGCCGAGCUCCGGGAACUCGUAAAAGUCCGGAAACAACAACUGCCAACCAAGAGCUGGCACUCGCUGCUUAAUUAAGCAGUGACGUCUCUCUCCUGACGCCUGCGCGGGGGAAGAGGCGACGAUAGCGGGCUGGUCCGGCGCCGGUGCUCAGCGGCGACGGGCGAGAGACACUGGGCUAGCAACCGUUCUAAGCCUGCCGACGGGCGUGGACGGAAGCGAAACCCCAAAUCGUCGGCUACGCAUGUAGAAGCCCUUCGCUGACGGUCUUCGGACAGGGGUUCAACUCCCCUCGCCUCCACCA